Arachis ipaensis is the source of this 437-nucleotide non-coding RNA. The record is from RefSeq and is a predicted model, not a curated record. Lineage: Eukaryota; Viridiplantae; Streptophyta; Magnoliopsida; Fabales; Fabaceae.
CAAUCUCUGUGGAUAGGAUUGGGUGCUUCCAAGACCAAGUUGAAGUUUCAUAUUUGGCAAUCAAAUGACGAGUUUCAGCAGCUACCUCAAACACCUUUGCAGACCAUAAGCGAUAAGCACUUGAGAUACCAACCUGCUUGCUAGGGCUUCUCCUCCAACCUGCUUUGCUACCUCUGUUGCCAAAUCUCCGAGAUUGGAAGCAAUGUUUCCGAAACCAGCCAUGAUGAUUAAAUGCCUGGAUCAGAUGGUACAAAAACAUAUGUUAAGCACACAGCAUUAGAACAUGAAUUAUCGUGGGAUUGUGAAAGAAAUGAAACAAAGCACAAAAAUCAUGAUACUUAAUUCAUUUCAUAGAGUAUAUUAUUAAUUUAGUUUCAUAUUAGAUAUAUAACGGUUCACGAGCAUUGCCUAACAGCUUAGAGUAUGAUUCUUAUUGC